AGAGCUGAGAGCGCGAGCGCCGGGCAGUCUUCAUUCUUCAAUAGCUGGGCGAGUGUCUGGGCGGUUCUCUCGCACAGACGUCCGAAAGUAACAUGGCGAAUAUCAGUCGCACCUGCAGAAGCUCUUCGUCGUGACACUUCCACGUAGACUGAUCUACGAGACUGUUUUUCUCAUGCGUUACUUGCCGACUACCUAAUACUCUUGCCAGACAUCAGGAGCUAAGUAUAGUAGAUGCAGCAUGAGUUUCUCCGUGAAGAAGACCGGCGGCAGAAUGUGGCACGAGGCGCGGAAGCAGGAGAAGAAAAUCCGCGGGAUGCUCGUGGACUACCGCCGACGAGCCGAACGUCGCCGAGACUACUACGAGAAAAUCAAAUCAGAUCCUACGCAGUUUUUACAAUUGCAUGGGAGGCCAUGUAAAAUUCAUUUAGAUCCUGUAAUCGCAGCAGCAGGUGAUAGUCCUGCAAACAUGAUGCCUUGGCAAGGAAAUCAAGAUAAUUUAAUUGAUCGUUUCGAUGUAAGAGCCCAUCUCGAUUGGAUUCCAGAGGCUACCAAUGCUACCGAAAUUGAUGUCCCAUUAACAAGUGAAGAUAGACACAUCAAUUAUGAAAGAUACCGGAUAAUUGUACAAAAUGAAUUUCUCACUGUUACAGAAGAGAAGUUUCUUCAUCAAAUUCACCUUGAAGAACAAUUUGGUUCCUCUACAAAACCAGACUUAGUAAAGGAUAAAAAGAAAUCAAGCAAUAACGCUGCAAUCGGUUACAACUAUGAAACUGAAGAACCAAUUCCAGAAACACCUAAACCAACGGAUCCUGCUGCUGUACCAGAAGAAAAAGAGGAUGAUGAUAGUGAUAUUGAUCUGGAUAUUUGUGUGGAUGUGUCACAAAUUGAACCUUCACAAGCACAUGAAAUGAACCAGGUGGCACAAAAGUAUGGACUGUUGGGUGCAGAUUACUUUAGUUUCUUGACACAAGAUUUCGAAGAAGCUGAAACACUGCGCCAAGCAAGAAAACAAGAAGAAGAGAAGGCAAUGUAUUCGGGCCGAAGAUCUCGAAGAGAAAGACGAGCAUUCAGAGAGAAGAAAAUGAUCGGCCGCGUAAUGAGCCCCCCUAGCUAUGCUGCUAGAGAAAGUCCAGAAUACAAUCCGUAUAGAAAAUCAUCUUCCAAAUCUCGUUCGCGUUCCGCAUCUCCCGUGAACGCAGGUCAAAUAACGUACAUCACGAGCUUUGGUGGUGAAGAGGAGGCGGCUCAAAGUAGUUCUUCCCAAGUUCCAGUAACAAAUCUGAAAAAAGUCAAUUCUAUAAGCUUGAAGAGAAAAAAGUCCGUUAGUCCGAUUAUUAGUGAAAAAUCGACUAAAAAAAUAGCAAGGUCUAGGUCUCGGAGUGCUUCACGUUCGAAAAGUAAAUCGUACAAAAAACGUGAAUGUAGAAGAUCAAGCCCAUCGUAUUCAAGGUCGAGAAGAGAUCUAUCUCGAGGCAGGAAGUACGGAAGAUCCAGGUCACGCAGUCGAUCCCGCUGGUCUCCCUCUUACUCCAGGUCAAGGUCACGCGGCCGAAGCAGGUCACGAUCCUACACAAGAACUCGGUCACGUUCACGGUCGAGGUCGAGGUCAAGAUCGCGACUGAGGACAAGGUCGCGAACACGAUCGCGCAGCCGUUCUCGCUCAAAAAGAUCGAGAUCGCGUUCCUCGACAACGUCCUCCUCGAGUCGUAGGACUAAGAGCAGCAGUUACUCGAGGUCACGGUCAAGAUCGAAGUCGAGAAACGAUUCGAAGAAGCGCAGACGCUCCAAGUCUAAGUCCAAAUCACGGUCCAAGUCGAGGGCAAAAACAAAGUCGAGGUCACGUUCUAGUUCAAGGUCAAGACCGAGGACCGUGAGAACUAGAUCAAGGUCAAGGUCGAAGUCUCGAUCUAGGUCUCGUAUAAAGUCCAGAACAAGAUCCAGAACGAGAUCGAGAUCUAGAUCUAGAUCUAGGAGCAGGAGUCGGAGUCGAUCGAGAUCUCGAUCAUCUAGCUCGAGAAGCAGGUCAAAUUGUAAUCGGUCGAAAAGUACAGAAAAUAAACCUACCGCAGUACCAAGAUAUUACGGUCGUCGGGGAAAGUCUUCGAGUUUAGAAAUAGAAUUAUCUGAUAAUGAGGACAAAAGUUUUCAACCCACACCAAAGACUUCUAAUUCUAACAUGAACAAGCCAAAAGCAGGGUUAAGUACAAAUUCUGGUGGCGGACACAAAGUCACCUGUAAAGAUUACACCCCAGGAGCGGCUUAAGAAAAAAAUGCAGGCCCUGUUGAAUAGGCAAUACAAAGCUGAUAAAAAAGCUGAACAGGCUCGAAUUGAGAAAAUGGAGCAGCAGAGGCAAGACAGAGAGGACGAGAUCCGAGAAAUGUCUCUCAAACUUCGUAGAAAACAACGAGAACGAAGGCACCGAUACGAUGGUCACAGCUCCGAAUCUCGGUCUUCGGGGUCACGCUCCCCGAGUCCUGAUCGAAACGCCCGAAGUUCCACACGCAGAGAUAGACGAGAUCGUGAGCACAGGAACCACGAUCACGAGAAUACUCGAGAUAGGGAACGAACGCGCGAUAAACGAGAUGAUAAAGAGAGAAGUAGCAGGCAAGAUUCCCGGAGACGUCAUCGCACUCCACCUCGUCAUUCUAGCCCGCGGAACAAUCGUGGAUUAGUUGAUUAUUAACUAUAAAUAAGAAAGUGUUCAAAAGGCAAUCAUACGGGCACUAAUUUAUACCCGGGUGCUGUGAAUUUUUAAAAAUUGUCAAUAUUGUUUUAUGUUAUAUAAAUUCGAUGAUUAUAAUCAAUAAACAAUUUUAACGUUA
Molecule: RNA transcript, 2823 nt
Organism: Nasonia vitripennis (jewel wasp)
Lineage: Eukaryota; Metazoa; Arthropoda; Insecta; Hymenoptera; Pteromalidae
Gene: Sfrs16
Gene name: splicing factor, arginine/serine-rich 16
Exons: 13
Source: RefSeq, marked validated